Non-coding RNA from Misgurnus anguillicaudatus (oriental weatherfish), 364 nucleotides. NCBI's taxonomy places the organism in Eukaryota, Metazoa, Chordata, Actinopteri, Cypriniformes, Cobitidae. The record is from RefSeq and is a predicted model, not a curated record.
CUUAAGAAAAAAGGUUCUUCAAAGGUUCUGAAACUAUGGUAAAGGUUCUAUAUAGAACCAUAGCUUACUGAAGAACCAUUUUUUGCUGAAAUGGUUCUUUGUCUUGGCAAAAGGGUUCUUUAUUUCCCUCCUUUUUUGAUUUUAAAUUUAGUCAGUUAUUAGUCCUGAUUAUUUUCACCUGUGAAAGCCCUGAAUCAUCAGUCCUGCUGAACUGCCUGCAGACUAACAUCACAAACAGGUAAACUUUAUACUGAAAGCUUCAUUCCCUUUAAAGCAGAGUUUUUAUAUGUGAGGUAAUCUUGCUGGGAGUGAAGGCAGUGCAUGUGACCGCUUGAUAUGAGAGACACAUACUGUAUUUAAAGGU